Picea glauca (white spruce) is the source of this 121-nucleotide non-coding RNA. NCBI's taxonomy places the organism in Eukaryota, Viridiplantae, Streptophyta, Pinopsida, Pinales, Pinaceae. The record is from Rfam.
ACAUGCCUACAACAUAGCGUUAAUGCACCAGAUCCCAUUAGAACUCCAUAGUUAAGCAUGCUUAGGCUAGAGUAGUACUGGGAUGGGUUACUGCCCGAAAAUUCCUAGUGUUUGACAUGCC